Molecule: ribosomal RNA, 468 nt
Filed under: uncultured bacterium
Lineage: Bacteria
Description: partial 16S ribosomal RNA
Rfam family: Bacterial small subunit ribosomal RNA
Source: RNAcentral
GACGAACGCUGGCGGCGUGCUUAACACAUGCAAGUCGAACGGAAAGGCCCUGCUUUUGUGGGGUGCUCGAGUGGCGAACGGGUGAGUAACACGUGAGUAACCUGCCCUUGACUUUGGGAUAACUUCAGGAAACUGGGGCUAAUACCGGAUAGGAGCUCCUGCUGCAUGGUGGGGGUUGGAAAGUUUCGGCGGUUUGGGAUGGACUCGCGGCUUAUCAGCUUGUUGGUGGGGUAGUGGCUUACCAAGGCUUUGACGGGUAGCCGGCCUGAGAGGGUGACCGGCCACAUUGGGACUGAGGUACGGCCCAGACUCCUACGGGAGGCAGCAGUGGGGAAUGUUGCGCAAUGGGCGGAAGCCUGAUGCAGCAACGCCGCGUGCGGGAUGACGGCCUUCAGGUUGUAAACCGCUUUCGCCUGUGACGAAGCGUGAGUGACGGUAAUGGGUAAAGAAGCACCGGCUAACUACGUG